UACGAAGGGGGCUAGCGUUGCUCGGAAUCACUGGGCGUAAAGCGCACGUAGGCGGAUUGCUAAGUCAGGGGUGAAAUCCUGGAGCUCAACUCCAGAACUGCCUUUGAUACUGGUGAUCUUGAGUCCGAGAGAGGUGAGUGGAACUGCGAGUGUAGAGGUGAAAUUCGUAGAUAUUCGCAAGAACACCAGUGGCGAAGGCGGCUCACUGGCCCGGUACUGACGCUGAGGUGCGAAAGCGUGGGGAGCAAACAGG
This 253-nucleotide ribosomal RNA is filed under the name uncultured bacterium. RNAcentral's name for it is "partial 16S ribosomal RNA". It matches the Rfam family "Bacterial small subunit ribosomal RNA", at positions 524 to 776 of the family's 1533-position model. The record is from RNAcentral.